GAUGAACGCUGGCGGCGUGCUUAACACAUGCAAGUCGAACGAAGCACUUUAUUUGAUUUCCUUCGGGACUGAUUAUUUUGUGACUGAGUGGCGGACGGGUGAGUAACGCGUGGGUAACCUGCCUUGUACAGGGGGAUAACAGUUGGAAACGGCUGCUAAUACCGCAUAAGCGCACAGCAUCGCAUGAUGCAGUGUGAAAAACUCCGGUGGUAUAAGAUGGACCCUCGUUGGAUUAGCUAGUUGGUGAGGUAACGGCCCACCAAGGCGACGAUCCAUAGCCGACCUGAGAGGGUGACCGGCCACAUUGGGACUGAGACACGGCCCAAACUCCUACGGGAGGCAGCAGUGGGGAAUAUUGCACAAUGGGCGAAAGCCUGAUGCAGCGACGCCGCGUGAGCGAAGAAGUAUUUCGGUAUGUAAAGCUCUAUCAGCAGGGAAGAUAAUGACGGUACCUGACUAAGAAGCACCGGCUAAAUACGUG
This 481-nucleotide ribosomal RNA is filed under the name uncultured bacterium. RNAcentral's name for it is "partial 16S ribosomal RNA". It matches the Rfam family "Bacterial small subunit ribosomal RNA", at positions 28 to 507 of the family's 1533-position model. The record is from RNAcentral.